Eimeria brunetti is the source of this 84-nucleotide non-coding RNA. NCBI's taxonomy places the organism in Eukaryota, Apicomplexa, Conoidasida, Eucoccidiorida, Eimeriidae. The record is from Rfam.
GGCGCUACUGAUGAUAGUAUUUUACUGUCGUUCUUCUGAUUAUUUUAGUGAGGAGAACAUAGGAGACCUGAACUGAUCAGCGCA